Molecule: ribosomal RNA, 480 nt
Filed under: uncultured bacterium
Lineage: Bacteria
Description: partial 16S ribosomal RNA
Rfam family: Bacterial small subunit ribosomal RNA
Source: RNAcentral
GAUGAACGCUGGCGGCGUGCUUAACACAUGCGAGUCGAACGAAGCACUUUAUUUGAUUUCCUUCGGGACUGAUUAUUUUGUGACUGAGUGGCGGACGGGUGAGUAACGCGUGGGUAACCUGCCUUGUACAGGGGGAUAACAGUUGGAAACGGCUGCUAAUACCGCAUAAGCGCACAGCAUCGCAUGAUGCAGUGUGAAAAACUCCGGUGGUAUAAGAUGGACCCGCGUUGGAUUAGCUAGUUGGUGAGGUACGGCCCACCAAGGCGACGAUCCAUAGCCGACCUGAGAGGGUGACCGGCCACAUUGGGACUGAGACACGGCCCAAACUCCUACGGGAGGCAGCAGUGGGGAAUAUUGCACAAUGGGCGAAAGCCUGAUGCAGCGACGCCGCGUGAGCGAAGAAGUAUUUCGGUAUGUAAAGCUCUAUCAGCAGGGAAGAUAAUGACGGUACCUGACUAAGAAGCACCGGCUAAAUACGUG